This 525-nucleotide ribosomal RNA is filed under the name uncultured bacterium. Its description in RNAcentral is "bacterial SSU rRNA". It matches the Rfam family "Bacterial small subunit ribosomal RNA", at positions 984 to 1509 of the family's 1533-position model. The record is from RNAcentral.
ACAUCCAGCGAACUUGGCAGAGAUGCCUUGGUGCCUUCGGGAACGCUGAGACAGGUGCUGCAUGGCUGUCGUCAGCUCGUGUUGUGAAAUGUUGGGUUAAGUCCCGNAACGAGCGCAACCCUUAUCCUUUGUUGCCAGCGAUUCGGCCGGGAACUCAAAGGAGACUGCCGGUGAUAAACCGGAGGAAGGUGGGGAUGACGUCAAGUCAUCAUGGCCCUUACGAGUAGGGCUACACACGUGCUACAAUGGUGCAUACAAAGAGAAGCGACCUCGCGAGAGCAAGCGGACCUCAUAAAGUGCGUCGUAGUCCGGAUCGGAGUCUGCAACUCGACUCCGUGAAGUCGGAAUCGCUAGUAAUCGUGGAUCAGAAUGCCACGGUGAAUACGUUCCCGGGCCUUGUACACACCGCCCGUCACACCAUGGGAGUGGGUUGCAAAAGAAGUAGGUAGCUUAACCCUCGGGAGGGCGCUUACCACUUUGUGAUUCAUGACUGGGGUGAAGUCGUAACAAGGUAAGCGUAGCGAG